This 138-nucleotide non-coding RNA is filed under the name Polarella glacialis. The record is from RNAcentral. Lineage: Eukaryota; Dinophyceae; Suessiales; Suessiaceae.
CGUUUGUUUGUUUGUUUGUUGUUUGUUUGUGUUUUGUUUAUUGGUGUUUUUCAGCUUUCAUUUCGUUUCACGGAUUGACACACUUACUUAGACAGGAAGCUCAGACAGGCUUACUUGAAACAGCAAAAGGACAAGAAA